Molecule: non-coding RNA, 26 nt
Filed under: Mus musculus (house mouse)
Lineage: Eukaryota; Metazoa; Chordata; Mammalia; Rodentia; Muridae
Source: RNAcentral
UGAGCCGAGCAGUAACAAUUGAGGUC